RNAcentral lists this ribosomal RNA (822 nucleotides) under alpha proteobacterium SCGC AAA288-E20. Its description in RNAcentral is "SSU rRNA". It matches the Rfam family "Bacterial small subunit ribosomal RNA", at positions 31 to 900 of the family's 1533-position model. The record is from RNAcentral. Lineage: Bacteria; Pseudomonadati; Pseudomonadota; Alphaproteobacteria.
GUACGCUGGCGGCACGCCUAACACAUGCAAGUCGAACGAAGUAGCAAUACUUAGUGGCAAACGGGUGAGUAAUAUGUGGGAAUCUGCCUUUCGGUCUGGAAUAACAUGGGGAAACUUAUGCUAAUACUGGAUAAGCCUUUACAGGGAAAGCUUUAUGCUCCGAUUGAUGAGUCCACACUUGAUUAGUUAGUUGGUGAGGUAAUAGCUCACCAAGACAAUGAUCAAUAGCUGAUUUGAGAGGAUGAUCAGCCACAUUGGGACUGAGACACGGCCCAAACUCCUACGGGAGGCAGCAGUGGGGAAUCUUGCACAAUGGGGGCAACCCUGAUGCAGCGAUGCCGCGUGAGUGAAGAAGGCCUUUGGGUUGUAAAGCUCUUUCGUCGGGGAAGAAAAUGACUGUACCCGAAUAAGAAGGUCCGGCUAACUUCGUGCCAGCAGCCGCGGUAAUACGAAGGGACCUAGCGUAGUUCGGAAUUACUGGGCUUAAAGAGCACGUAGGUGGUUAAAAAAGUUGGUGGUGAAAUCCCAGAGCUUAACUCUGGAACUGCCAUCAAAACUUUUUGGCUAGAGUGUGAUAGAGGAAAGCAGAAUUUCUAGUGUAGAGGUGAAAUUCGUAGAUAUUAGAAAGAAUACCGAUUGCGAAGGCAGCUUUCUGGAUCAUUACUGACACUGAGGUGCGAAAGCAUGGGUAGCGAAGAGGAUUAGAUACCCUCGUAGUCCAUGCCGUAAACGAUGUGUGCUAGACGUUGGAAAUUUAUUUUCAGUGUCGCAGCAAAAGCAUUAAGCACACCGCCUGGGGAGUACGACCGCAAGCUAUGAUAC